CCUACGGGAGGCAGCAGUGAGGAAUAUUGGUCAAUGGCCGUGAGGCUGAACCAGCCAAGUCGCGUGAAGGAAGACGGCUCUAUGGGUUGUAAACUUCUUUUAUCGGGGAGUAAAGCUAUUCACGUGUGACUCUUUGCAAGUACCCUAUGAAUAAGCAUCGGCUAACUCCGUGCCAGCAGCCGCGGUAAUACGGAGGAUGCGAGCGUUAUCCGGAUUUAUUGGGUUUAAAGGGUGCGUAGGGUGGUUUUUAAGUCAGCGGUGAAAGUUUGGGGCUCAACCCUAAAAUUGCCGUUGAAACUGGAAGACUUGAGUGUGUGAGAGGUAGGCGGAAUGCGUGGUGUAGCGGUGAAAUGCAUAGAUAUCACGCAGAACUCCGAUUGCGAAGGCAGCUUACUAGGCCACAACUGACGCUGAUGCACGAAAGCGUGGGGAUCAAACAGGAUUAGAUACCCGGGUAGUC
RNAcentral lists this ribosomal RNA (460 nucleotides) under uncultured bacterium. RNAcentral describes it as "partial 16S ribosomal RNA". It matches the Rfam family "Bacterial small subunit ribosomal RNA", at positions 338 to 795 of the family's 1533-position model. The record is from RNAcentral.